Molecule: ribosomal RNA, 247 nt
Filed under: uncultured bacterium
Lineage: Bacteria
Description: partial 16S ribosomal RNA
Rfam family: Bacterial small subunit ribosomal RNA
Source: RNAcentral
AUACGUAGGGGGCGAGCGUUGUCCGGAAUGACUGGGCGUAAAGGGCGCGUAGGUGGCCUUACAAGUCUGGAGUGAAAGUCCCGUUUUUAAGGUGGGAAUGGCUUUGGAAACUGUAAGGCUUGAGUGUGGGAGAGGAUAGCGGAAUUCCCGGUGUAGCGGUGAAAUGCGUAGAGAUCGGGAGGAACACCAGUGGCGAAGGCGGCUUACUGGUCCAUUACUGACGCUGAGGUGCGAAAGCGUGGGGAGC